Molecule: long non-coding RNA, 2554 nt
Organism: Cercocebus atys (sooty mangabey)
Lineage: Eukaryota; Metazoa; Chordata; Mammalia; Primates; Cercopithecidae
Source: Ensembl
AAUAACAAAGCUAACUAAAAUAAAUUUUUGUUAAAAGAAGGUAAUACUUAUUUUGUUUUUACAGGUUCAAGGAAAAGUCAGUGGAAGUCGUUAUCCAUGUCAACAUUGAACCAAAAGAAAAAAUACACUGACAAUCAAUGAAAAGAUUCAAGCGGUUGACACUGAACUAUCAGCUUGACUGUUUAAAUCAGAUUUUUCAUGGACAUAGCACGUGGAGUUCCUUCAGAACAAGUUUAACAGGUCAGAAUUUGGUAUCAGAGCCUGAUCAGAGUCAGAAAUGCAUUCACACAAAGAGGGAGCCUCGUGUGCAGCAUUGGAGCACAAAAGUGGGCAGAGAAACAUUUAAGUGGUGGAGAUGGAAGAAGAAAAUCAACCUGGAUGAGACCCCAGACAGACUGAGGAGAACAUCCAUCCAAAGAUUAUUGACCUAUGCGCUUCAUUAUCAGAACAUGAUAAUACAUGUAGAGCAGAGCACUGUGUACCAGUUACUAAUGCCAGAAGAGGACUCUCACAAUAUGGAGGAUAAUGAAGAUCAUCACAAUACUAGCCACCAGGAAUAGAAGUGCAGAUACUUCUGCCUACUGUCUCCUGGUAUUGGAGUUACCAACAAAACACAAGUCAAGUACUUGGUGGAAAAUUACUUUACUCACAAAAAGAUACAGAGCAAGAUCAGUUUCAAUAGUGGACAUCCGCCACCACAUUCCCCCCUGGAAGACAAUGCAGGGAAAGUGGCCUAUGAGCACCCCAUUAGUGCUGUGGUAGAGGGAUCUUGACACCUCCUCCGGGAAGUCUGAAAUAUCAAAAACUAGGGGCAUGCCUGAGGGCCACUGAAACACAAUGCUUAAGCAGAACAAAGCCAUACUCAUUGAGUCUGAAACAGUAAGAUACUUUCUCACUAAAUCUAAACCUAGGACAGGUACUGCCUUUCCCAAUACAACAGAUUUUAGUAAAUCCUCCAAAUUUGUUUUACUUUGUUCCACUUGUUUCGGUAAUUAUCUAUGCUGUCCCUUUCUAUAUAAAAUUAGCAUAAGCUAGUCAAUACAACAAAAGUACAUACAGGGAAUUAGAUUGGGUUUGCAUUCAUUCUAUAGGUCAAUUAGAGAAUAAUAAACAUUAUAAAAAUAGUGAAUAUUCCAUUCCAUGAAAUCGAUAUAUUUAUUCAUUUACUAAGACAUUUUUGAUUUCUUAGUCAGCAUUUGUAGAUAACAUGCAAAUCCUGUAUCUAUUUUUGUUAACUUUAUACCUACAUAUUUUAUUUUUCCUGAUGCUAUUGUAACUAUUACUUUAAAAAUUAAUUUCCAUGUGCCUAUAGUCCCAACUUCUUGGAACAUUGAGGCAAAAGGCUCACUUAGGCCCAGGAGGGAGUUUGAGUCUAGCCCGGGCAACACAGAACCCCACCUCUAAAAAUUAAAUUAAGUUAAAAUAAAAAAAAAUUUCCAGUUGUUCAUGCCCAUUAUGCAAAUAUGUAAUUGAACUAGUACCCUGGAACAUUCCAAAAUUAUUUUACUAAAUCUGGAGAUUUUGUUAUAGAUCUAUAGACUAUGAAUACAUAUGCAAAUAUCUUGCUUAUAUAAAUAGACUUAUUUUACCAUUUUUAUUCUCUAUGAUUCUUAUUUCUUUGUCUCGUUUUAUUUCACUUACUAGGACUUUUGAAACUAGUGAGAGAGAUCAACAUUGCCUUGAUCCUGAUCUGAAGGGAUAAGUUUACAUGUUCUUUACUCAUGUGUUGAGUUGGUUGAUGAGCUUGUUGAAUGCAUACUUCAUCACUUUUACUGUGUUUUUUUAUUUCUAACAUUUUCAUUAGACUUUAGUAUUUACAGUUUCUACCAGUCCAUUGGUAAUCACACAUCUAAUCUUUUGUGAUAUUCACUUUUUCCAUAAUUGUAUUUAACAAAUUAAUCAGUUUUUUAAAUUUUCUGAAGAGAUUAUUACAACUUCUGUGUCAUAUCUAAGUCUAGUUUAGUUGGUUGCUUUGUCUUACAGCUCUCUGUUACUUUUUUGUGUGCCUUGUAUUUUGGCUAAAAUGUAUACAACUUUUGUUACUAAUAAAAAUGGGCUAUCUUAUCUCUUCUAUUUAUGUAUGUUUUUAUGUUUCCCCACAAUAUAAUAUUUGAUUACAGCAGAUUUUAGUGAAUCUUGGAAUAAGAAAGAAAGUUUGUGGUUUUUUUCCCCAUUUGUUUUGAUAAUUCUAGUUAGUUUUCAUUACUGAUAUGGACAUUGUAUGACAUUUAAACAGAUUUAACUAAUACAUUUUUUCUAAUAGUAUAAAGUAAUUUAUAAAAUUAGAACUUCAUAUUCCAGUGUGGAAUUGUGGACACCUUUUCUUGUCCUGGCCUAAAACCAUUUGUGCCCAAAUACAAAUCAUGUAUAUCACAAUGCAGGAAUAAAAACGUUUAAAAAAUUUCUGCAAAAUAUUAGAGCUUCCUGGAUGUCAUAAGAAAUUAUGCAAGGUUGUUUCUUUUAAUGCUUUAAUUAGAGACUAGAGGAAAUACACAAAUAUAAAAGCAAAGUGUUUUUAUAUUAUGUUUUAUAUAUCUUAUAUACUUAUUUUGCC